CGCCAGAUUGCCCAGUUGGUAGAGCUCCUGACUAGAGAUUCAGGGGGCCCGGGUUCGAAACCCGGUCUGGUCC
RNAcentral lists this transfer RNA (73 nucleotides) under Magallana gigas (Pacific oyster). RNAcentral's name for it is "Crassostrea gigas (Pacific oyster) tRNA". It matches the Rfam family "tRNA". From Rfam's summary of the family: Transfer RNA (tRNA) molecules are approximately 80 nucleotides in length. Their secondary structure includes four short double-helical elements and three loops (D, anti-codon, and T loops). Further hydrogen bonds mediate the characteristic L-shaped molecular structure. tRNAs have two regions of fundamental functional importance: the anti-codon, which is responsible for specific mRNA codon recognition, and the 3' end, to which the tRNAs corresponding amino acid is attached (by aminoacyl-tRNA synthetases). tRNAs cope with the degeneracy of the genetic code in two manners: having more than one tRNA (with a specific anti-codon) for a particular amino acid; and 'wobble' base-pairing, i.e. permitting non-standard base-pairing at the 3rd anti-codon position. Lineage: Eukaryota; Metazoa; Mollusca; Bivalvia; Ostreida; Ostreidae. The record is from Rfam by way of RNAcentral.